RNAcentral lists this ribosomal RNA (420 nucleotides) under Enterobacter hormaechei. RNAcentral's name for it is "partial 23S ribosomal RNA". It matches the Rfam family "Bacterial large subunit ribosomal RNA", at positions 1453 to 1857 of the family's 2925-position model. Lineage: Bacteria; Pseudomonadati; Pseudomonadota; Gammaproteobacteria; Enterobacterales; Enterobacteriaceae. The record is from RNAcentral.
ACUGCGAAGGGGGGACGGAGAAGGCUAUGUCAGCCGGGCGACGGUUGUCCCGGUUUAAGCAUGUAGGCGGAGGUUCCAGGUAAAUCCGGUACCUUUUAACGCUGAGGUGUGAUGACGAGGCACUACGGUGCUGAAGUGAUAAAUGCCCUGCUUCCAGGAAAAGCCUCUAAGCAUCAGGUAACACGAAAUCGUACCCCAAACCGACACAGGUGGUCAGGUAGAGAAUACCAAGGCGCUUGAGAGAACUCGGGUGAAGGAACUAGGCAAAAUGGUGCCGUAACUUCGGGAGAAGGCACGCUGAUGUGUAGGUGAAGCCCCUGCGGGUGGAGCUGAAAUCAGUCGAAGAUACCAGCUGGCUGCAACUGUUUAUUAAAAACACAGCACUGUGCAAACACGAAAGUGGACGUAUACGGUGUGACG